RNAcentral lists this ribosomal RNA (250 nucleotides) under uncultured archaeon. RNAcentral's name for it is "partial 16S ribosomal RNA". It matches the Rfam family "Bacterial small subunit ribosomal RNA", at positions 524 to 774 of the family's 1533-position model. The record is from RNAcentral.
UACGUAGGGGGCAAGCGUUGUCCGGAAUGACUGGGCGUAAAGGGUACGUAGGCGGUCAUGUAAGUCAGGUGUGAAAUUCUAGGGCUCAACCCUAGAUAGCACUUGAAACUGCGUGACUUGAGUCAAGGAGAGGAAAGUGGAAUUCCUGGUGUAGCGGUGAAAUGCGUAGAUAUCAGGAGGAAUACCAGUGGCGAAGGCGACUUUCUGGCCUUGGACUGACGCUGAGGUACGAAAGCGUGGGGAGCAAACA